GAACAUCGACACUCUGUAAGACUGGGUGCGGGGGGCGUGCCGCUCGCACGCGUUCGGGAGAAGCCGGUCCACCUGAGCGGGCAGCGCGCGCGCCUCAAGGGCGCAUGCGCGCAACGGCGCGCGGACCGCGCGCGGCCUGCCGCGCCCUUUCUAGCUUUUCCCCAGGGCACCGAAACAAUUUUGUGGACAACUUAAAUAAGCCAAUGCGCUUAGCAGAUAUAAUGCAGCGUGACGUUAAAUCUAAAAUGCAUUUCGGCUUGUUUUGAAAGCGUCGACGUGCGCUCGUAAACACAAUCGAACGACUUAAGAAAGUAUAAAAAAAAGUGUUGAGAGGAAGGAGUCUCCGCGUCUGUCCCAGCGUUUCCACCUGACAGAAAGAAGCGCGUGUUCCCGUCCCCGUCCCCCCUCGCCUCGCUCAGGUUUGCCAGAACCGCUGGGAUGCGUCUUCAGUUCUGCAAGCGCGUCGGGCAGUUUCCCCUCUGCACCAGGGAAGACCUUCGUCACAUUGGUCCAGGCCUCCAGCAACGAUAGACACGUAUGCCUGCUGAUGUCUUCCACGUCCACAAUUCAUCAUACCUUCAUGAGCACUAUGUGGGACGACGGAAGGACGGCUCUAGGAAUAUUUCUGUACGCGAUCCGUCUGUCGCUGGUUGAGCCUUUCCUCUCUGUGCCCGGCUUCGAGGUCCGCAUGCCCCCCACCCUGCAACUUUGUGCAUUUUACGGGCUGUGUGCUGCGGUGCACUGACCUCCCACUCACCCCGGUGCCACCCAGGCGCGCCCAGCCCUGCCAAAACCCCACAGCGCCACAUCUGCUAUCCAUAAACGCUUGCCGCUCCCGCUCCCCCUGGCCCGCGCUCUGUCGGCUGCCUCUCUCUCCUCCCUCCCUUCUCCUCUUCCUCAGUCUUUUCUUCUCCACCUCUCUCGUUCACAUUAUCUGACUAGAUAAGCUCUUUCCUUAUUUUUCCUGUCGCUUCAGUGGAGCAAAAUGUUGUGCUGUACAUUCUGUCCAGCCUCCUAUCUCUUCCUCACCCCCCAGGACCCUACGUUCCCAUCCAACGGAAAAAUCUCUCACCCAUUAUAUAUGCAGCACAAGCCAGCUGAAUGCGAUGGCAGUGAACUGGGAACCACAGGACAUUCCUGAUCCAAACGGGCCCAAACCACUAUCUUUAACUCCUCCUUUUCCUUGCUGUACCAAGAUGAACCUCAAAAAUACUGUGGGAAGCAUCACUUAAAAGCUGUUUUCUCAAUAACUGCUUGUUUUGCAGCAUGCCUUUCGUAUAUCUUGCUUAACAUUUAGAUAUAUCUCCACGAUGGGCACGUCAGCUUCCCUCCUUGUAGUCAUGCCUGCUUUCUUAAGAUCUAAGCCGCUUGUCUCCUAGUGACAAGCACAUCCCUUCAGCAUGAGACUGAGAAGUUCCACUGUUAAGUGUCUCUCUCACACACUCACACAGGUUCACGUCCUCCAGGCAAAAAAAAAAAAAAAAAAAUUUCAGUGUUGCAGAGAAACUGGCCAGAUUUUAGCUUGCCCCCCUGACAAUAAAGCCAUAUUAGAGUUGUAUUAUUAUUUUAUCAUUAUUUUGACUUCUUCUCAGUAAUCAAAUUUACAAAGUGAAAAAACAUGCACACAUUGAACUUUUGAUCCCAUCCUUCUUGGCUGAAGCUUGUUCCUCAGGGCCCAAGCCUCACCUUCUCCUCACUCAGACGUCCUGGCAUGCUGCCGUGCUGCAGUCCCAGCAGAACCUCGGCAUGAAUCAUGGAGCUGCAGGCAUGCAGGAAUGCCGCUUACUGAUAAAUAUUACCAUUCAUAAAUCACUGAUUUUCAAAAAUGCCCAAAGAACUGCAUAGAGGGGGUGGUUCUCUGUGGGUCUUAAUGAGAAGGACUGCUUCAGGGGUGAGGUGUUACCAGCAGAGAGGUGUGCGUGGAGGUAAGGGGUUCAUCAAAGACUUUGAUGUGCAGUAGGAAGAAAAGCCUGCUGCUUCGGUAACAACAGAGGAUGAGAAAGG
Scleropages formosus (Asian bonytongue) is the source of this 2004-nucleotide long non-coding RNA. RefSeq lists it as uncharacterized. Lineage: Eukaryota; Metazoa; Chordata; Actinopteri; Osteoglossiformes; Osteoglossidae. The record is from RefSeq and is a predicted model, not a curated record. The transcript has 4 exons.